This 480-nucleotide ribosomal RNA is filed under the name uncultured anaerobic ammonium-oxidizing bacterium. RNAcentral describes it as "bacterial SSU rRNA". It matches the Rfam family "Bacterial small subunit ribosomal RNA", at positions 363 to 833 of the family's 1533-position model. The record is from RNAcentral.
UUUUCGCAAUGCCCGAAAGGGUGACGAAGCGACGCCGCGUGGGUGAGGAAGGCCCUCGGGUUGUAAAGCCCUGUCAGGAGUUAAGAAGCAUAAGUGCGCUAAUAUCGCAUUUAUUUGACAAAGGCUCCAAAGGAAGCCACGGCUAACUCUGUGCCAGCAGCCGCGGUAAUACAGAGGUGGCAAGCGUUGUUCGGAAUUAUUGGGCGUAAAGAGCACGUAGGUGGGUUUGUAAGUCAGAUGUGAAAGCCUUCUGUUCAACGGAAGAAUUGCAUCUGAAACUGCAAGUCUUGAGUGUAGGAGGGGAGAAUGGAACUUCUGGUGGAGCGGUGAAAUGCGUAGAUAUCAGAAGGAACGCCGGCGGCGAAAGCGAUUCUCUGGCCUAUUACUGACACUCAGUGUGCGAAAGCUAGGGGAGCAAACGGGAUUAGAUACCCCGGUAGUCCUAGCCGUAAACGAUGGGCACUAAGUAGAGGGGUUUUA